GCGCUUGCAAGGCAGGCGCCUGAACCACUGAGCUAAAUCCCCGGCCCUGGCUUUUUUUUUUUUUUUUUUUGAGACAGAGUCCCACUAUACAGGCCAAGCUGAACUUGAUCUUGCUAUGUAGCCCAGGAUGGCCUCAAACUCACCUGCCUCAGCCUCAUAGGUACGGGAAUUUCAGGAAGGAAGCCUCAGGUCCAGACAAAAGAGAAGAUUUGAGCGUGGGAUGGUGAUGGACGCCUACAAUCCCAGCUCCGUGGGAGCCAGAAAGUUGUCUGCAGGAGACUAGAAUCUUGAAGCGCAAGCCCCCAAUCUGGAUCCAACUACACCUUAAUAGGCUGCCCCAGAAGUCGCACAUUUCCAGAAAGAACAACUUCUCCCUUGCUUUUUAGCUGUGUGAACCUACACAUCUCUGAACCUGUUUCCUGUUGUAUCAAACCGUGCAGUAAAGUUUACUCCACAGGGGUACUGUGGGGACGAGAGCUAAGGCCCGAAAACCCCUUAACGAGGUUUGAUGCCGGCUGAACGUUCAAUCAGUCAUACUUAUUAUUUAUAUUAUGAUUGUUCUUAGUCUAACGUAUCUAGCUCAGUGAUUGGCAGACAGUGGGUACUGAAGGUGGCUAUAACUAUCACUGCCUAAAAACUCUAGAGCACAGAGCCUGGCAUUUAGCAGGUGCAGAAUAAAUGGUAGACAGCUUUUUUUUUUUUAACCUAAGGACAAAAAAAGCAUAUUUUCAACCCCAACGUCUCUGUGAAGUUACGGUACUCGUUUUUGCUCGGCAACAGGCUCCUCUUACGUAAUCCUUCUCGGCCAAUGAGCAGAAAGGUGGGUGGAGUUUUAUCCGGCAGCCAAUAGCAGCCCUCAGCGGUGCGUAGGGUAGGCCCAGCAGGUUUGCAGCCUUGCUACUGAAGCGAAACCAGGCGGCAGUUCGAGGGGCGUGGAGUGUCUCCAAAUUCCCCAGCCUCUGCCCGUCAACCGCGUUCUGAUUGGUGCGGACCUUGGCGACUCACCCUCCGCCCGUCCCUCCCCUCCCCGCCCGGCUCCGCAGGAAGGGG
This 1050-nucleotide long non-coding RNA is filed under the name Heterocephalus glaber (naked mole-rat). RNAcentral describes it as "lncRNA (ENSHGLG00100041480.1)". The record is from RNAcentral. Lineage: Eukaryota; Metazoa; Chordata; Mammalia; Rodentia; Bathyergidae.